This 75-nucleotide transfer RNA is filed under the name Hadesarchaea archaeon. Its description in RNAcentral is "tRNA-Ile". It matches the Rfam family "tRNA". From Rfam's summary of the family: Transfer RNA (tRNA) molecules are approximately 80 nucleotides in length. Their secondary structure includes four short double-helical elements and three loops (D, anti-codon, and T loops). Further hydrogen bonds mediate the characteristic L-shaped molecular structure. tRNAs have two regions of fundamental functional importance: the anti-codon, which is responsible for specific mRNA codon recognition, and the 3' end, to which the tRNAs corresponding amino acid is attached (by aminoacyl-tRNA synthetases). tRNAs cope with the degeneracy of the genetic code in two manners: having more than one tRNA (with a specific anti-codon) for a particular amino acid; and 'wobble' base-pairing, i.e. permitting non-standard base-pairing at the 3rd anti-codon position. The record is from RNAcentral. RNAcentral also lists the same sequence under 1 other name. Lineage: Archaea; Methanobacteriati; Hadarchaeota (SeqCode); Hadarchaeia (SeqCode).
GGGCCCGUAGCUUAGCCAGGUUAGAGCGCUCGGCUGAUAACCGGGAGGUCGAGGGUUCAAAUCCCUCCGGGCCCA